This is a long non-coding RNA of Aethalodelphis obliquidens (Pacific white-sided dolphin), 4144 nucleotides long. RefSeq lists it as uncharacterized. Lineage: Eukaryota; Metazoa; Chordata; Mammalia; Artiodactyla; Delphinidae. The record is from RefSeq and is a predicted model, not a curated record. The transcript has 3 exons.
CCCCCCCCCCCCCCCCACCCCUCCGCCGGCUGCCGUUCAGAACAGGGGUCGUCUUCCUGCGAGAGGGUCCCCAGGGCCUCCCUCCUAGUCUGACAGGAUCCACGUCGGCCUGAAGCAAGGCCUGCUUAGAGCAACACAGUGUCUUUUCUCCCCGAACCCCGUAAGACCACUCCCAACUGGUUCCUGUUCCCCUUCAGUGGACAGUGGUAGCCCGAACCAAACCCGCAGCCUCAUCAUGGAAGACUCAAGAACCAUUUCCCAAGUGAUGAGGGUUUACUGGGGGAGUCCUUUCCCCCAGAGUCCCUGAAAGGCGUGUGUCCGCCCCAAAUCAGAGCCAGCACAGCCUAGUUUCGGAAGGCAGUGCCGCACCUUGACCGGCACCUCUGCAAACUGCUUUCCGUAGCCGUGAGCUUGAGCAGCGGCCCCAGGUGUUUCUGGAUCGUCUGGGGCUUUAACGCUCUUUAACACAAGCCAUUCUCACCUCCUACCGGAGUUAAGUACAGUACCGCCUGCCCGCCUCACCUGCACCCCUCCUCCUGGAGCUGGGAGCUUGACUCACCGCGGGCCCAGUGGAGCUGCCCUACUAGGCAGCCUUUAGGAAGAGGGCGGGGAGGGACGCUGGGGCUGAUGCUCUGUCCAGGCCUCCCCCAGGUAGCCCAGGAAGGCACUCACAACGAGCACCCAUUCCUCAGCAUCUCAAUUCCCAGUGUGGCCUAAUGAGCUGUUCUUGGGAAUUGGAAUUAAGGAGCACUUAUUCAGCAACUAUUUCCCGAAUAUGCAAUAUGAUCGUGAACGGACAGGACUUAUAGUUAUUCCAGCUCCAACGCUUACAAGCAGAGUUCAUUGGUGCAACCUCUCUGUGCCUCAGUCUCCUCAUUUAUAAAAUGGGGCUAGUUGAAUCUUCCUAGUAGAGUCCUUGUGAGGCUUAACUGAGAUGAAACCACUUCGAAGAGUGCAAGCACAUAGUAAGCUUUCAAUGAUCAUUAGCUAUUAGUAUUUUGAUCAUUUUCCAAGGACUUGUCCCUAAGUCCAGGUAUGGUUCACUCUGUUGGUGCCUAAAGAGAUGGUUUAGAAUAUCCCUUCUCAGACUAAACUAGUAAAAGAGGAGACGAAGAUGGUGGAAAGCUGCAGAUGCAAAAAGAUAGGAAGAAAAAUGGCAGAGAGAAGGAGACAGAAUGAAUAAUGGAAAUGAUCUAAGGGAAUCGAAGAAGUUGCUGAUGGUGAGAUGCACAAGGUCAGAGGUGCCCAGGACUAAGGAGAAAGAGGGCAGAGCAAGUGUGAACAGCCGGGACCGGCCUGGGGUCGCAGCGCGGGGCUCCAGGACACCGAGCGAGGAAGACCCUCCAUGGCUGCGGCCGCCUCUGGACUUCCAACUUCAGGGCCACUGAAGUUGGAAGUUCUCUGAAUAAAUCAUUCCUAGUAAAACGAGGGCAUUAAAGGAUGAAAGAGAAGAUAGGCCAAAGUGAAAGAAAUUUACUUACACAUCCAUCCUGAGUUUACCUAUUUUUUUUCAUGCCAAGAUCUGAUAUUGCUUGGGCCACUCCAUUCAUUUCCCUAUGGAACCUCCUUGUCAGAGAAAAGCGCAAGUAUCAAUAUAUUACUCCCUACCUAUUGGGGGAAAUAACCCGUUCGAUAAAUUCUUCCUGACCAGCCUACUAUGUGUUAGGCUUCAGGUGAAGGUCUAGGGGUACACAGCUCUGGUUAUGCCACAGCCUCUAAGGACCCACAUGGCAGGGACUGAAUCCUGUGACGACACUCCCUCUACUCCCAGCCCCGGGAUAAUCCUCCUUUUCCCAGGUAGGUUUCAGGAACCCAAGAACAGCACAGGGAUACUCGGGAUCAGAGAAUCGGGAUCACAAUGUGUAUUGCUUCGUACCAGGUCAUUGGUAUAGUUUACACAAUGUGGUAAACUACCCAUCUUUCCCACUUCCCAGGGAGGUGGGGCUCAUUUACAGGAGGAAAGUGGGCUGUGGUGGUUCACUAACGUGCUAACGACCUAUAGACAGUAAGGAGCUGGUUGACGCUAAGGCUCUGGCCGCGCCUUCCCGGGAGCACUCCAAGAUAGGUCGGAAGGACCUGCGCGGCGGGAAUCCGGACGAUUCAUACCGCAGCCUCUCAGGCUGGGAGUUCCGGGCUCUCCUUCGCCCCGGGGACGCCGCCUAGUACCCCGGGAGCUUCUGAAGCCCGCGGAGACUUCUGGAUUGCUUUCCCGCCCCCCAGAGACGGCGCCAAAGAGCCACAAUACUGUCCACAACGCGCCCGCGAGAAUGUGCCCUCCGGGUCGCGGCUCAGAGCGCCCCAGGACACGCUCCCCGAGCGCGACUGCUAGCCCGACGCGCGUCAAGCGGAAGCACUGGGUUGCCGGGUGCGGAGCGAGCUGGGGAGGCGAGAGGGCGGCGCGGGGCUUAGAAAAGGAAAAGUCGCUCUGCCCCAGUCUUCGGAGCACUAAUGUCAUCAACCCUGGGUAGCAGGGGCGGGCCCCGAGCCGGUGACCUGGACAAUGAUCUGAGAGGGGCCUGGGGCCGCGGCGGGCUGGAAAGAGGGAGGCGGGGCCGCCAGGAGCUUCGGGGAGUUCAAGUCUUACCCUGGGAAGAUGGUGUAGAAGCUUCCUAGGGUCUGGCCUUCAAAGUAGCAGCUGCAGCUCGGCUAUUGGGGUAUCGAGGGGCUGGGAACACGCAGGCAGCUGAGCCUUAGGCUCCAGACACCCGGAACCCCACACACUCGCAGGCGCCCGCCGUGCCGGUAGAGGGGCGCUCUGGUCUAGGGCGUCGCUGUGUCUGGGACGCUGGCGAUUCUCCGCUGCAGCACAGCUCCCCGAGGAGGAUGCGCAGGAGGGAGCCCCAGCUCCUGCGCAGCCCUCUGCUUUCCCGCACCCUCCACAUGCAUCACGGCAGCCCCUCCAGAAGCCUCCUUCAUACACACAUCUUCCUCCCCGCCACCGCAGUCCUGAGCGCGCUUAACCAGAGUCAAACCAAAACAGGCCGACUUCUGAUGCUGAGAAGACAAGGAUGCCUUUGGGCGGCGUGGUCUUCACCAGGCCCUCACUGGAGACCCCUGGGAAUGGCGACUCUCAGUGUGGACUCCCCAGGGUAAGCACGACGCUGGAUUCAGACUUCCUACAUCCUCAUCUUGAUAAACUGGCCUUCAUCUUGUACCAAACUGGAGAUAUGAUGAUAAACUAUCUUACACGGUUAUAUGAUCAAAAGGCUGAGUAUUUACCACUUAAGAGUCCAGUCAGACAAGCUUGGUGUACAAGCACACACCAGUCUGUUUGAUACAAGGUAGCUUUGAUUUUGCUUUGUUUCCUUAUUUUUGGUCCACAGGAUACCAAACCGCUGGAUUAAUGGAUUUCUUUCCCGUGGACGAGUGGAUCUAAUAUUUGAUGUUUUACCUAUUUCUGAGGAUCUCCAAUGUCAGCAGUUACCUGUUUUCACAAACCACCCCUCACUGUCCUGGUGAUGAGUGAGGCAGCCACGCUGGCCCCUAGGCAAGGGGACAGCAUCCCCUGGCUCCCAUCCUGCUGGAGCUUACAAGACAUUGGGAGUGUGGGGUGUAGAUCGAAGGAUACAGCCAGUCAAGAAACGCCUCUAUAGAGAGGAAAAGGGGGCAUGGCCUGCUUUGCCGAAAGUAAGGAGGAAUUCGGGCUGGACCAGGAGGGAGGUGGGUGUGAGGCCCUUGGGGGCUAGGCUUCAGCAGAAAUCCUCAUCCUUGCUCUGAUCAGAUGCUGCUGAAGAACUGAGUUUAUGUUUUCUCCCUGGGGACAGUGGUUCUCGACCCUCUCUGUACCUCUGAAUCCUUUGUAAAGUGUCGAAAACCACGAUGGUCAGGCCCCACCCCCAUAUUUGGCUCUAGGGAUCUGUGGCAGAGACCCAGGCAAUAGAGUUUUUAAAAAGCUUCCCCGGGUGAUUCUAACGCAUGAGUUGGUGUUGAGACCUUGUCCCGGGCUUGCUAGCUGCAACUUCUGCUAUACCACACCGUCUUUCCCUCUUUAGCUACUUAAAGAGCCCUCAGCACACCCAGAAUGGGACAGAGGCUGUGGAUUUGACUCCUCGAAUACAGUUUUCAGUUUUUUAAAAAAUUAAUUUUGUUGUGCUAGGUCUUAGCUGCCGCAGGCGGGCUCCUUAGUUGCGGCAUGAGAACUCUU